UUGAACGCUGGCGGUAUGCUUAACACAUGCAAGUCGAACGGAAACGAUACUAGCUUGCUAGUAGGCGUCGAGUGGCGGACGGGUGAGUAACGCGUAGGAAUCUGCCUGAUAGUGGGGGAUAGCCCGAAGAAAUUCGGAUUAAUACCGCAUAAUCUAUUCGUAGUAAAGUGGGGGACUUUCGAGCCUCACGCUAUCAGAUGAGCCUGCGUAAGAUUAGCUUGUUGGUAGGGUAAAAGCCUACCAAGGCGACGAUCUUUAGCUGGUCUGAGAGGGUGAUCAGCCACAUCGGGACUGAGACACGGCCCGAACUCCUACGGGAGGCAGCAGUGGGGAAUAUUGGACAAUGGGGGCAACCCUGAUCCAGCAAUACCGCGUGUGUGAAGAAGGCCUGAGGGUUGUAAAGCACUUUCAAUUGUGAAGAAAAGUUAGCGGUUAAUAACCGUUAGCCUUGACGUUAACUUUAGAAGAAGCACCGGCUAACUCCGUGCCAGCAGCCGCGGUAAUACGGAGGGUGCAAGCGUUAAUCGGAAUUACUGGGCGUAAAGCGUGCGUAGGCGGUUUAUUAAGUCAGAUGUGAAAGCCCCGGGCUUAACCUGGGAACUGCAUUUGAAACUGGUCAACUAGAGUAUGGUAGAGGAAAGUGGAAUUUCUGGUGUAGCGGUGAAAUGCGUAGAUAUCAGAAGGAACAUCAAUGGCGAAGGCAGCUUUCUGGACCAAUACUGACGCUGAGGUACGAAAGCGUGGGUAGCAAACAGGAUUAGAUACCCUGGUAGUCCACGCCGUAAACGAUGAUAACUAGCCGUUGGGGGGAUUUACCCUUUAGUGGCGAAGCUAACGCGUUAAGUUAUCCGCCUGGGGAGUACGGCCGCAAGGUUAAAACUCAAAGGAAUUGACGGGGACCCGCACAAGCGGUGGAGCAUGUGGUUUAAUUCGAUGCAACGCGAAGAACCUUACCUGGUCUUGACAUCCUGCGAACUUUCUAGAAAUAGAUUGGUGCCUUCGGGAACGCAGUGACAGGUGCUGCAUGGCUGUCGUCAGCUCGUGUCGUGAGAUGUUGGGUUAAGUCCCGUAACGAGCGCAACCCCUAUCCUUAUUUGCCAGCACAUCAUGGUGGGAACUAUAAGGAGACUGCCGGUGAUAAACCGGAGGAAGGCGGGGACGACGUCAAGUCAUCAUGGCCCUUACGACCAGGGCUACACACGUGCUACAAUGGGAAGGACAAAGAGCCGCGAAGCCGCGAGGUGUAGCUAAUCUCAUAAACCUUUUCGUAGUCCGGAUUGGAGUCUGCAACUCGACUCCAUGAAGUCGGAAUCGCUAGUAAUCGUAGAUCAGAAUGCUACGGUGAAUACGUUCCCGGGUCUUGUACACACCGCCC
This 1375-nucleotide ribosomal RNA is filed under the name uncultured bacterium. RNAcentral describes it as "bacterial SSU rRNA". It matches the Rfam family "Bacterial small subunit ribosomal RNA", at positions 29 to 1395 of the family's 1533-position model. The record is from RNAcentral.